CUCCAGAGGGAAGUACUUUCUGUUGUCUGAGAGAAAAGAAAGUGCUUCCCUUUGGACUG
RNAcentral lists this microRNA precursor (59 nucleotides) under Pongo abelii (Sumatran orangutan). RNAcentral's name for it is "Pab-Mir-430-P17_pre stem-loop". It matches the Rfam family "mir-515 microRNA precursor family", at positions 16 to 74 of the family's 87-position model. The record is from RNAcentral. RNAcentral also lists the same sequence under 1 other name. Lineage: Eukaryota; Metazoa; Chordata; Mammalia; Primates; Hominidae.